CGGGCAGAGAAGGAGGGGGUCAGACGGCCGGUCCCUCCCUGGAGCUCCAGGUCCACUUAGUGCUCAUCUUCUCAGCGCUUUUGCGUUCCAUUGGAGGAGCAUAUUCACACUAAAAAAAGACCACUUUCUAGAUUGAGGACAUGCGUCACUCUAGCAUCUGAGGAUCCCACCUUCACUUUGUGAGAGCACAGGGGCUGAGGUUGAAAUGCCUGCAAAACACCCAGGUGGAGAUGUCCAGAAGACAGUUGGAUAUACGGUAUUGAGGAGCAAAAGAGAGGCUGGAGAUAAUGAUCAGAAGUCAUCAGCAUAUAGAUGAUGAUUGAAGCCACAGGAGUGAAUAAGGUUUCCCAGGGAGAGGACCUCAAACAAAACAGGAACAUCUGGAGGAUGUACAGUGGAAGAACACCCAGCAUACACAGAGAUAGGUACAAUUGGUUAGUAUGGCAGAAUGAGACCAAAAUGGUUGAACUGCAACAAAGAGAAACUGGAAAAAGACAGAAAAUGACAGAGAGCCUAGUAACAGAAGGAAUGCAAUUUAAAAGCCCUUCCAAUGGGUUUAGUUAAUCCUGGAAAAGAUCAGAGACAUAUAGACAAAUGUGGCAAUAAAGUAAAGAAGCAAUUAGCGACUAAUGCAGAAGCAAGGUGAAGCAAAAAUAGGCAGUGAACGGCCGCGAACGACGUCAUUUAUGGUUCAAAAAUCUUAGGGCAAUUUUUUCAGAAAACAACUAUUACGUCAAACCCCCACCUCUUUGCUGGGCCCCUCUGCUCGAUUCAGGUACCUAGAUGAAUGGAGAUGUACGUGCACAUACAUAGGUCCCCAGGAACGAAAUGCCAGAUAGCAGCAGGGUUCAGCAGGUGGAGGAGGAGAUAGAAGAAAAAAAUAGGAGCGUGACAGGAAAACAAAGG
RNAcentral lists this long non-coding RNA (906 nucleotides) under Homo sapiens (human). RNAcentral describes it as "HSALNT0016982". The record is from RNAcentral. Lineage: Eukaryota; Metazoa; Chordata; Mammalia; Primates; Hominidae.